Molecule: long non-coding RNA, 508 nt
Organism: Scleropages formosus (Asian bonytongue)
Lineage: Eukaryota; Metazoa; Chordata; Actinopteri; Osteoglossiformes; Osteoglossidae
Exons: 4
Source: RefSeq, a predicted model, not a curated record
GUAGACUUACCGUAGUUAUGCACAGAAGAAGGCUGUGCGGUUUUCCACUCUUCACUCAUUUUUCUUUCUCUGCUUAACUAAGGAACAUACCUAUUGCUUCAGUUCUGACAUCUUCAACCACGCACCUGCUCAGCUGCUGCUGUGUCUCUCAACUCAACUCAACUUGGUCCAGCAGGAGAGGUCAGACUCACCUGCUCCCAGCUGUGUGUCCAUGAAAUUUGGCUAGUGGAUGGUCCCCCACCGAAAUUCUGUAAUGAGGGCAUUACUGCUGAUAAAAGGAGGACGUUCCCUGGAGUGGCAAAGAUUGCACACGGCCUGGAUCACGCUUCUCGCAACACCAUGGUGACUACCAUCUCCCAGUACUGGGAGGCCCCAGGGUUUUCCACUGUCGCAUCGACUUCCUGUCAGAAUUGUCUGAUUUGUUCAAAGUACAACAUUGGUAAAGGGGUGUCAGUGUCGCAGUCACACAUGCCGCUCCCAGGAGGUCCUUUAAACCAUCUAAAAAUGG